This 207-nucleotide ribosomal RNA is filed under the name uncultured bacterium. RNAcentral's name for it is "partial 16S ribosomal RNA". It matches the Rfam family "Bacterial small subunit ribosomal RNA", at positions 568 to 774 of the family's 1533-position model. The record is from RNAcentral.
CGCGUAGGCGGCCUGGGAAGUGCUUCGUGAAAGCCCUCGGCUUAACCGAGGAAGGGCGGGGCAAACUGGCAGGCUCGAGUGUCGGAGGGGGAGGCGGAAUUCCUGGUGGAGCGGUGAAAUGCGUAGAGAUCAGGAAGAACGUCGGUGGCGAAGGCGGCCUUCUGGACGAACACUGACGCUGAGGCGCGAGAGCGUGGGGAGCGAACG